UUGUAGAGGAUGCUUCGGGCGCGGGCCCGGUCUAAGUCCGUUGGAACACGGCGCCAUGGAGGGUGAGAACCCCGUACGCGACCGGCGCCCAACCCCAACCGUAGCUCCUUCGACGAGUCGAGUUGUUUGGGAAUGCAGCUCAAAAUGGGUGGUAAAUUUCAUCUAAAGCUAAAUACCGGCCAGAGACCGAUAGCGCACAAGUAGAGUGAUCGAAAGAUGAAAAGCACUUUGGAAAGAGAGUCAAACAGUACGUGAAAUUGUUGAAAGGGAAGCGCUUGCGACCAGACCUGUCCGCGGACGAUCAGCCCCCGUUCUCGGGGGUGCACUCGCCCGCGAUCAGGCCAGCAUCGGUUCGGGCGGUCGGAUAAAGGCCGCGGGAACGUAACUCCUCUCGGGGAGCCUUAUAGCCCGCGGCGGCAUGCGGCCAGCCUGGACCGAGGACCGCGCUUCGGCUAGGAUGCUGGCGUAAUGGUUGUAAGCGGCCCGUCUUGAAACACGGACCAAGGAGUCUAACAGCUCUGCGAGUGUUUGGGUGUCAAACCCAUGCGCGGAAUGAAAGUGAACGCAGGUGAGAGCCCUGAAGGGUGCAUCAUCGACCGAUCCUGAUGUCAUCGGAUGGAUUUGAGUAUGAGCAUAGCUGUUGGGACCCGAAAGAUGGUGAACUAUGCCUGAAUAGAGUGAAGCCAGAGGAAACUCUGGUGGAGGCUCGCAGCGGUUCUGACGUGCAAAUCGAUCGUCAAAUUUGGGUAUAGGGGCGAAAGACUAAUCGAACCAUCUAGUAGCUGGUUCCUGCCGAAGUUUCCCUCAGGAUAGCAGUAACGUUUUCAGUUUUAUGAGGUAAAGCGAAUGAUUAGAGGACUUGGGGUUGAAACAACCUUAACCUAUUCUCAAACUUUAAAUAUGUAAGAAGUCCUUGUUGCUUCAUUGAACGUGGACAUUUGAAUGCACCGUUACUAGUGGGCCAUUUUUGGUAAGCAGAACUGGCGAUGCGGGAUGAACCGAACGCGAGGUUAAGGUGCCGGAAUGUACGCUCAUCAGACACCACAAAAAGUGUUAAUUCAUCCAGACAGCCGGACGGUGGCCAUGGAAGUCGGAAACCGCUAAGGAGUGUGUAACAACUCACCGGCCGAAUGAAUUAGCCUUGAAAAUGGAUGGCGCUCAAGCGUGCUACCCAUACCUCGCCGCCGGGGUAGAAA
RNAcentral lists this ribosomal RNA (1196 nucleotides) under Australidea canorufescens. Its description in RNAcentral is "Lecanorales sp. 2021a partial large subunit ribosomal RNA". It matches the Rfam family "Eukaryotic large subunit ribosomal RNA", at positions 150 to 1366 of the family's 3401-position model. Lineage: Eukaryota; Fungi; Ascomycota; Lecanoromycetes; Lecanorales; Malmideaceae. The record is from RNAcentral.